UCUAUUACAAAUUAAGGUCUUAUCCCAUAAGGUUCUACUACAAUUUAAGUCGAUUUUUCCUCCUCCUUUCACUAGCUCGCAUGGUCGCGUUUCCACCUUCAAGACCCAUUUCAAGUCACCGCUCCUCUUGUUGACAUUAGGAGUGCUAAAUACUGGCCAACAUAAAACACUUAGAUACAAAAUGUUUAGACAUUGGCAUUGUUAUUACUACUUUCAGCAUCUACACAUACA
This 231-nucleotide long non-coding RNA is filed under the name Lathyrus oleraceus (garden pea). RNAcentral's name for it is "Pisum sativum (pea) long non-coding RNA (PSAT_LNC024931)". Lineage: Eukaryota; Viridiplantae; Streptophyta; Magnoliopsida; Fabales; Fabaceae. The record is from RNAcentral.